RNAcentral lists this long non-coding RNA (1769 nucleotides) under Octopus vulgaris (common octopus). The record is from RNAcentral. Lineage: Eukaryota; Metazoa; Mollusca; Cephalopoda; Octopoda; Octopodidae.
ACUCCUAAAUCAGCUGUACAGUAUCCCGCCUGUGAGGGAUCAAUGCCAGAUGGGUCAAAACUAUUGUAGUGAUCAAUAAACAUACUUGUAUCUUCCGUCUUCCGUCUCUUGCAUUAAUCAAAUAUAUACAUAUAUAUAUUGUUGCUUCUGGAGAGAGUCAUUCUCUUUCAGUGCUUUAUUAUUUAACACACUCACCAGUUUAGUUUCCACUCAUUUACUUAUUUAUUUUUUCUAAAAUUUUCAUUGCAUCUUGCAACCUUUUCAAUAGUCAUUGACUCUGUUUAUUACCCAAGCUGCGUUCUUUUGAAACAAGAAAGAACGCAGCUCAGAUAAUGGACAGAGUCAAUGACUAUCGCAAAGGUUGCAAGAUGCAAUGAAAAUUUUAGAAAAUAUAAAUAAGUAAAUGAGAGUGGAAACCAAACUGGUGAGUGUGUUAAAUAAUAAAGCACUGAAAGAGAAUGACUUUCCUCACACACAAUAAAAUAUGCUUCAACACAUGAACUCACAUAAAGAAUCAUGCAAACCAAAUCCAAAAACGAAAUAUACACAUAUAUAUAUAUAUACAUAACCUGCCUGCUGGAUUAUUAGAGCAUCUCUGAAGAUUUUAUCUUCUCACUGUGUUCUGAGAAGAAAUUCACUGCAAUGGGGUUCACAUUGUGUUUUCCCAAAGCCAUUGAUAUAUAACCAUACACACCACUCUUACACACACACACACACACACACAAACAUGCCUUACUAUAUGUAUACUUACACAUAGACAUACAUAUACAUAUGUAUACACGUCCUCCUGUAUAUGCAAUUCAGACACAAACCCUCCUAAACACACUUACAUACAUGCUACAUAUACACUUAACACGUGCACACAAACACACCUCCCUACAUUUAUACAUACACACAGACAUACCCACCUCCUACAUAAGCACUUUGACAAAAAAUAUAUCAUCCUGCAUUUACACAUGUACAUGCACACACACACACAUACACACACACACAUACACAAGUGCUCACACACACACAAAAAUAUGCCUCCUACAUAGACACAUAAAUACCCACUGAACUAAACAUAUUCCAUGCCCGCCACUCCUGAUGGAAUCGUAGGGGCAAUGUCAUGUUAUAUGGAGUGUCUUGAAAAUUUCUAAACAUGGCAGAUCCAAUUCGUCUUGAUCUGACCACAGCUGCUAGAAAGAAAGAAAGAAAGAAAGAAAGAAAGAAAGAAAGAAAGAAAGAAAGAAAGAAAGAAAGAAAGGAAAGAAAGAAAGAAAGAAAGAAAGAGAGAGUCCAAGAGGAAAUGAAGGAAAAUAAUCAAGCAGAUAUAUACACACUGACAUACAUCAUCCUACAUACAUACAUACAUACACACUAUCUUACAUGCAUGCACACAGAUACACACCCUUCCUCUAUAUACAGCUACACAGACACAGACCACACAUUCAUACAUACACAGACACAUUCUCUUGCAUACAUACAUACAUACAUACACACAUACACAAACCCCCUACAUGCACACUUACACACACACAAACACAUGCAUGCAUCCUCCUACAUACAUGUACCAGAAUCACACCCCUUAUAUACACAAGCACAUGUUACUCACACACAUGCAUACAUACAUGCAGACACACCUUCUCAUGCAUACACACUUACAUACAAAUACACAUACACACUAGUAUACAAAGAAUGGUAUUUUGGAGAAAUAAAAUUUUAAAUAACAAAAAAAAUUAUGUUUCUUUAAAUUUUAAACAAUGAAUAAAGUUCAAUUUUGAAUGAUU